This 1260-nucleotide long non-coding RNA is filed under the name Brachypodium distachyon (stiff brome). RNAcentral's name for it is "long non-coding RNA (BDIS_LNC000782)". The record is from RNAcentral. Lineage: Eukaryota; Viridiplantae; Streptophyta; Magnoliopsida; Poales; Poaceae.
UCGGGAUUAUCGUUCCAUCGACGGAACACCCGCGCUCGACCCCCAGCUGAAGCAUUUCUUUUCUCCCUUUUCCCUCUCUUCGCCAAUAGAGACAUCUUUUCUUCCCGAUAGACCAGCGCUCCCCUCACGCGCGGGCUCUUCUGCGCCGCCGCCGAUACAGGUACCUCAUCGGUGGUCAACUCCGUCCAGCCGCCAUCCAUCCUUGGGUCAUCCCCCGCUCCGGCGCUCUCCCCUUUCCUCAAUAUACUGCAGCGGCUGACGCCUCCAUAGUCAGCGGCGGCGCAUGUCCCCCCGGCGGCAGCAGCGCAGGUAGUGGCGUCGUCCCUCUGUCCUCCGGCGCCGGGAUUCUCACCCACUGGGCUGCAGCUUCCUCCCGUCGACCUCUCCCUCCCCUCUCAUCUCUCUCGUUUCUCUGUGUAACGGAGACGCGACCCGUCGGCCGGCGCAGCGCCGGCAGCUCCUUCCCUCCUCCUCCGGCUGGGCUGAGCACAGCGUCGGCAGCCUCCCUCCCUCCUCCUCUGGUUGGGCACAACGCUGGAAGGAAAUGAGAUCGACGAGCGAGCCGCACGACCGCCGGGCGCCGUCCUGCACAUUAUCUGCCUCUCCGACAUGCAGAUGCAGCCGCUCCCAGCCACAAGGAGCUCGUUCUGUUCAAGAUAAGGAAGCGACGAACAUGUGUGUUUUGGUUUGAUUGCUAUUGCCCUGAAACGCCUUAUUAUUUGCUACGUACUGAACUGUAGUACAUGUGAUGCUCUUCCUGUAAUUUGCAUUUUACGAUCUUUGUUUUUCAGAUGUAAUCUACUUAUGCAAAGAGAAUCCGAUUAAGAUGAUGCUACGAGAGUUGCACUCAAGAGCAUCCGAUUUUCUUUUUACCGUUGUAAAAAGAAAAAGAAAAAACAUUUCACGUGUGAAACACUAUAGCCAAUAUACUCGGUCGACUUCGAUUCAUCGCUUUGGACAUCCAAUCAGGAUUUGACAUUCGAUCUCAAUAUUAAGUCUUGGUUUCAAAUAUCUAAACAUCCAAACAAAAGUAUUUGUAUUCAGUCUCAAUAUCAAUAUCAUGUGAUAUUGGCAUUGAAGACACUGCAAUGCCAAGUUUCUGAAUGUCUACAUCCAAACGAAACCUUCAUGUUUAUGCUUCCCUUGAUCAAGAGUCACUAGAGGGUGCGAUUGCGGCGAUUCUUAGGGAUUGGAAAGGUGAUUUUGUUGCUGCGGCAAAUCAAAGAUUACCUGCUGCCUGGAUGCUGGCCUUUCGGCUGG